GACAGAGGUGCCAAGCGUUAGGCGGAAUCACUGGGCUUAAAGCGUGUGUAGGUGGAUUUGUAAGUACCUUGUGAAAUCCCAUGGCUCAACCAUGGAACCGCUCGGUAUACUGCGAAUCUUGAGCCACUUAGGGGCUACCGGAACAAAUGGUGGAGCGGUGAAAUGCGUAGAUAUCAUGUGGAACGCCAAUGGUGAAAACAGGUAGCUGGGAGUGUGCUGACACUGAGACACGAAAGCCAGGGGAGCGAACGGG
This 253-nucleotide ribosomal RNA is filed under the name uncultured bacterium. Its description in RNAcentral is "partial 16S ribosomal RNA". It matches the Rfam family "Bacterial small subunit ribosomal RNA", at positions 524 to 776 of the family's 1533-position model. The record is from RNAcentral.